Molecule: RNA transcript, 1146 nt
Organism: Passer domesticus (house sparrow)
Lineage: Eukaryota; Metazoa; Chordata; Aves; Passeriformes; Passeridae
Exons: 5
Source: RefSeq, a predicted model, not a curated record
UUCCAUGGUCUCCACUGUGCACUUCAGAUGGAGCCUGGGAACUGUGAUGUCACAGCCCACGCUCCAGCUGGAACGUCCAGCGCCCAGCAAAGGGCACAACACAACCCUUGGCCGCUGUGUUGACACGCUCUGCAUCUUGCUCCUGCCCUCGCCUUUCACUCUUCUUAUCCCCCCGAUACCCCGAUCAUUCCUGACAGCUCCUGAGUGCCAGGAUUUCAUCAUCCAGCCCUGCAGGAUGCUCCCCUUUGUCCUGAGGGAGGCUGUCCCAGACAGAGAGGAGGAGAUGGAGGUAGACACCAAGAUUGAUAUGGAGGAGGAGAUGGAAAUAGACGGAGAAGACCCUGGAGAGGAAGAGAUGGAUGUGGAUGAGGAUGUUGAAGAAGAGAUGGACGUGGACGUGACUGAGGACGAAGAGAUGGAUGUGGAUAUGGAAGAGUCCAUUGAGAACAUGGAUAUUGAUUAAGAAGGCUGUCCCAGACAGAGAGGAGGAGAUGGAGGUAGACACCAAGAUUGAUAUGGAGGAGGAGAUGGAAAUUGACGGAGAAGACCCUGGAGAGGAAGAGAUGGAUGUGGAUGAGGAUGUUGAAGAAGAGAUGGACGUGGACGUGACUGAGGACGAAGAGAUGGAUGUGGAUAUGGAAGAGUCCAUUGAGGACAUGGAUAUUGAUUAAAAAGGCUGUCCCAGACAGAGAGGAGGAGAUGGAGGUAGAUACAAAGAUUGAUAUGGAGGAGGAGAUGGAAAUAGACGGAGAAGACCCUGGAGAGGAAGAGAUGGAUGUGGAUAUGCAUGAGGACGAAGAUAUGGAUGUGGAUAUGGAAGAGUCCAUUGAGGACAUGGAUAUUGAUAAAAAGGUGCGAUGGACAUCAUGGAGAGAGAUGCUGCCCUUUUGUACAUACGUUUUAGACUUUGUUUUUGUCUUUAGGAUAGAAGUUUUUGGGCCUAUUUGUGUCUUCUGUAAAUGUGGUUUGGUUUUUUUUUAGAUAGUUUCUUAUGUAUACAUGUUCUCUCGACUGUUGUUGUUGUUACAAAUAUUCUUACAAUGUAAAUAUGUUCUGUAUUUUUGCUGCUGUUCUUCUGUAAUAAACAAAAUUUACUUUUCACCCCCCAUUUCUCUUUGCAUUUGCUUCAGGCACAGGCAGCAUUUU